UUAGUGACGAAGACAGUGACGGUAGCUAAGGAAUAAGCAUCGGCUAACUACGUGCCAGCAGCCGCGGUAAUACGUAGGAUGCAAGCGUUAUCCGGAUUUACUGGGUGUAAAGGGAGCGCAGGCGGGACUGCAAGUUGGAUGUGAAAUACCGUGGCUUAACCACGGAACUGCAUCCAAAACUGUAGUUCUUGAGUGAAGUAGAGGCAAGCGGAAUUCCGAGUGUAGCGGUGAAAUGCGUAGAUAUUCGGAGGAACACCAGUGGCGAAGGCGGCUUGCUGGGCUUUAACUGACGCUGAGGCUCGAAAGUGUGGGGAGCAAACAGGAUUAGAUACCCUGGUAGUCCACACUGUAAACGAUGAUAGCUAGGUGUGGGGGGUCUGACCCCUUCCGUGCCGGAGUUAACGCAAUAAGCUAUCCACCUGGGGAGUACGACCGCAAGGUUGCAACUCAAAGGAAUUGACGGA
RNAcentral lists this ribosomal RNA (464 nucleotides) under uncultured organism. RNAcentral describes it as "bacterial SSU rRNA". It matches the Rfam family "Bacterial small subunit ribosomal RNA", at positions 439 to 917 of the family's 1533-position model. The record is from RNAcentral.